GGCGGCGUAGCUCAGUUGGCUAGAGCAUUCGGUUCAUACCCGACAGAUCGGUGGUUCGAGCCCACUCGCCGCUACCA
This 77-nucleotide transfer RNA is filed under the name Clostridia bacterium. Its description in RNAcentral is "tRNA-Met". It matches the Rfam family "tRNA". From Rfam's summary of the family: Transfer RNA (tRNA) molecules are approximately 80 nucleotides in length. The record is from RNAcentral. Lineage: Bacteria; Bacillati; Bacillota; Clostridia.